CUCAGCAGAAGUCCAGGUUCCCAUGCAGGAAUUUUACUGGCCUGUGGUUGGAUCUGAAAGUUAAUGAUGAAGGAGCUAUUGGAAAAGCAGACUAAAAGAUGCUGAGGGUUGGAAAAGCAAAAGCAGAUGUGUGGCCCAAAACUGCUCCAAAGAAAGAUGAGAACAGCUUAGUUCCUCCUGCCCCUGUGGACAGCGACGGGGAGAGUGAUAAUUCAGACCGUGUUCCUGUGCCCAGUUUUCAGAAUUCCUUCAGCCAAGCUAUUGAAGCAGCCUUCAUGAAACUGGACACACCAGCUACUUCAGACCUCCUCUCUG
This 315-nucleotide small RNA is filed under the name Pan troglodytes (chimpanzee). Its description in RNAcentral is "processed transcript". Lineage: Eukaryota; Metazoa; Chordata; Mammalia; Primates; Hominidae. The record is from RNAcentral.